CAUGUUGGUUUAAUUCGAAGCAACGCGAAGAACCUUACCAGGUCUUGACAUCCCGAUGCUAUUUCUUAGAGAUAGAAAGUUACUUCGGUACAUCGGUGACAGGUGGUGCAUGGUUGUCGUCAGCUCGUGUCGUGAGAUGUUGGGUUAAGUCCCGCAACGAGCGCAACCCCUAUUGUUAGUUGCCAUCAUUCAGUUGGGCACUCUAGCGAGACUGCCGGUAAUAAACCGGAGGAAGGUGGGGAUGACGUCAAAUCAUCAUGCCCCUUAUGACCUGGGCUACACACGUGCUACAAUGGUUGGUACAACGAGUUGCGAGUCGGUGACGGCGAGCUAAUCUCUUAAAGCCAAUCUCAGUUCGGAUUGUAGGCUGCAACUCGCCUACAUGAAGUCGGAAUCGCUAGUAAUCGCGGAUCAGCACGCCGCGGUGAAUACGUUCCCGGGCCUU
This 445-nucleotide ribosomal RNA is filed under the name uncultured Streptococcus sp. RNAcentral's name for it is "bacterial SSU rRNA". It matches the Rfam family "Bacterial small subunit ribosomal RNA", at positions 938 to 1382 of the family's 1533-position model. Lineage: Bacteria; Bacillati; Bacillota; Bacilli; Lactobacillales; Streptococcaceae. The record is from RNAcentral.